Molecule: ribosomal RNA, 408 nt
Filed under: uncultured bacterium
Lineage: Bacteria
Description: partial 16S ribosomal RNA
Rfam family: Bacterial small subunit ribosomal RNA
Source: RNAcentral
GACGAACGCUGGCGGCGUGCUUAACACAUGCCAGUCGAACGGAGCGGCGAACGGGCGAGUAACACGAGGGGGAUCUGCCCUGCACUCCGGGUUAAGCUUGGGAAAAUGGGUCUAAUCCAGGAUAGUGCAAUAUGAGCGCGCGUCCGAUCAGCUUGUUGGUGGGGUAAUGGCCUACCAAGGCGUCGAGGGGUAGCAGGCCGGCGAGGGUGUACGGCCACAUUGGGACUGAGAUACGGCCCAGACGCCUACGGGAUGCAGCAGUGGGGAAUAUUGCACAAUGGGCGGAAGCCUGAUGCAGCGACGCCGAGUGGGGGAUGAAGGCCUUCGGGUUGUAAACUCCUUUCGACAGGGACGCGGUACCUGUAUAAGAAGCACCGGCUAACUACGUGCCAGCAGCCGCGGUAAUUC